RNAcentral lists this transfer RNA (72 nucleotides) under Mus musculus (house mouse). It matches the Rfam family "tRNA". From Rfam's summary of the family: Transfer RNA (tRNA) molecules are approximately 80 nucleotides in length. Their secondary structure includes four short double-helical elements and three loops (D, anti-codon, and T loops). Further hydrogen bonds mediate the characteristic L-shaped molecular structure. tRNAs have two regions of fundamental functional importance: the anti-codon, which is responsible for specific mRNA codon recognition, and the 3' end, to which the tRNAs corresponding amino acid is attached (by aminoacyl-tRNA synthetases). tRNAs cope with the degeneracy of the genetic code in two manners: having more than one tRNA (with a specific anti-codon) for a particular amino acid; and 'wobble' base-pairing, i.e. permitting non-standard base-pairing at the 3rd anti-codon position. The record is from Rfam by way of RNAcentral. Lineage: Eukaryota; Metazoa; Chordata; Mammalia; Rodentia; Muridae.
GGGGAUGCAAUUCAGUGGUAGAGUGCUUGUCUAGAAGACAGGAGGCUCUGGGUUCACUUCUCAGCAACCCUU